This 400-nucleotide unclassified non-coding RNA is filed under the name uncultured fungus. Its description in RNAcentral is "sequence contains ITS1". The stretch from base 1 to 106 matches the Rfam family "5.8S ribosomal RNA", at positions 50 to 154 of the family's 154-position model. Lineage: Eukaryota; Fungi. The record is from RNAcentral.
UAGCUGCGAUACGCGGUGUGAAUUGCAGGACACGCCGAACACUAGAUUAUCGAACGCACAUUGCGGCUUCGAAUAUCUAUUCGGAGCCAGAUCUGCGCGAGGGUUGAAAGAUAACUUACCAAUGGUAAUGGUCCGGGGUCGUAAGCCCCUCAGCGGUAACGUCGUCGGACCUAAGACGCUUCGUGCUCGAACGCCGUCAGUCGAAUGUGUGCUAAGACUGCGUGCGGAUGUGCAAUCACCCAACGGUGUGUUUUGCUGCCGUACAUUCAAGCAGUGCUUGCCUAUUUCGCUGGCCGGUGGUGAAGGCAUGCGGCUACUGCAUUGAGGCAGGCGGCAAUCAGCCGUAGCCGACUGUGUACAAAGAACAAAUCUCAACCUCGCGUCAGUUCAGACUACCCCC